This 75-nucleotide transfer RNA is filed under the name Actinomycetota bacterium. RNAcentral describes it as "tRNA-Asp". It matches the Rfam family "tRNA". From Rfam's summary of the family: Transfer RNA (tRNA) molecules are approximately 80 nucleotides in length. The record is from RNAcentral. Lineage: Bacteria; Bacillati; Actinomycetota.
GGGGGCGUAGCUCGAUCGGUAGAGCGACGGCCCGUCCAUCCGUCGGUUGUGGGUUCGAGUCCCACCGCCUUGCCA